This 272-nucleotide ribosomal RNA is filed under the name Bacillus halotolerans. Its description in RNAcentral is "partial 16S ribosomal RNA". It matches the Rfam family "Bacterial small subunit ribosomal RNA", at positions 82 to 347 of the family's 1533-position model. The record is from RNAcentral. Lineage: Bacteria; Bacillati; Bacillota; Bacilli; Caryophanales; Bacillaceae.
CUCCCUGAUGUUAGCGGCGGACGGGUGAGUAACACGUGGGUAACCUGCCUGUAAGACUGGGAUAACUCCGGGAAACCGGGGCUAAUACCGGAUGCUUGUUUGAACCGCAUGGUUCAAACAUAAAAGGUGGCUUCGGCUACCACUUACAGAUGGACCCGCGGCGCAUUAGCUAGUUGGUGAGGUAAUGGCUCACCAAGGCAACGAUGCGUAGCCGACCUGAGAGGGUGAUCGGCCACACUGGGACUGAGACACGGCCCAGACUCCUACGGGAG